CGAGCGAUGAGGCUCCUUCGGGGGUACAUCAGCGGCAGACGGGUGAGUAACACGUAGGUGACCUACCCUCGAGACGGGAAUAACGGCUGGAAACAGUCGCUAAUACCCGAUAGACUUACCAGGUCAAAGCGGUAAGAAAAGCUACGGUGCUUGAGGAGGGGCCUGCGGCCCAUCAGCUAGUUGGUAGGGUAACGGCCUACCAAGGCGAAGACGGGUAGGGGGUGUGAGAGCACGAGCCCCCACAAUGGGACUGCGAUACGGCCCAUACUCCUACGGGGGGCAGCAGCAGGGAAUAUUGCACAGUGGACGGAAGUCUGAUGCAGCGACGCCGCGUGAAGUGAAGACGGCCUUCGGGUUGUAAAGCUCUUUUACGGGGGACGAGGAAGGACGGUACCCUGGGAAGAAGUGUCGGUUAACUACGUGCCAGCAGCCGCGGUAAGACGUAGGACACAAGCGUUAUCCGGAGUUACUGGGCGUAAAGCGCCUGCAGGCGGCCUGGUAAGUUGGACGUGAGAACCCGGGCUUUACCCGGGGAGCUCGGCCAAUACGCCAAGCCUAGAUGCGUCAGAGGGGAAUGGAAUUCCCGGAUUACGGUAAAAUGCCAGAUAUCGGAGGGUACACCAGUGCCGUUACGACUCCCUUGGGCGCGACUGACGCUUAGAGGCGUAAGCUAGGGUAUCGAACAGGAUUAGAGACCCUGGUAGUCCUAGCCCUUAACGAUGGAUGCUAGGUUUGGGACGUAAAGUUCCGUGCCGUAGCCUACGCGAUAAGCAUCCCGCUUGGGGACUACGGUCGCAAGGCUUAAACUCAAACGAAUUGACGGGGACCCGGACAAGCAGCGGAGCGUGUGGUUCAAUUCGAUGCUACACGAAGAACCUUUACCUGGGUUUUGACAUGUACGUGGUAGAGAAGCGAAAGCGGAUUGACCCUUCGGGGAGCGUACACAGGUGCUGCAUGGCUGUCGUCAGCUCGUGCCGUGAGGUGUCGGGUUAAGUCCCGUAACGAGCGCAACCCUUAUCCUUAGUUGCACGUAUCUAGGGAGACUGCCGGCGGGAAGCCGGAGGAAGGUGGGGAUGACGUCAAGUCAGCAUGGCCCUUAUGUCCAGGGCUACACACACGCUACAAUGGCCGGUACAAAGGGCAGCAAAGUCGCGAGGCGGAGCGAAUCCCAACAAAGCCGGUCGUAGUUCGGAUUGCAGGCUGCAACUCGCCUGCAUGAAGCUGGAGUUGCUAGUAACCGCGCGUCAGCUAUAGUGCGGUGAAUACGUACCCGGGUCUUGUACACACCGCCCGUCACGUCAUGGAAGUCGGUAACGCCUGAAGGCGGUAGCCUA
This 1334-nucleotide ribosomal RNA is filed under the name uncultured organism. RNAcentral describes it as "16S ribosomal RNA". It matches the Rfam family "Bacterial small subunit ribosomal RNA", at positions 63 to 1437 of the family's 1533-position model. The record is from RNAcentral.